Molecule: long non-coding RNA, 8435 nt
Organism: Brassica rapa (field mustard)
Lineage: Eukaryota; Viridiplantae; Streptophyta; Magnoliopsida; Brassicales; Brassicaceae
Source: RefSeq, a predicted model, not a curated record
UCUUAACUGAGAUUCCAAACAAGAAAAUGAAAAAGGAAAAUAAAUCAGAGAACCGCUGUUUAAAUUGGAAUUUUAAGGAUUGUUGCAUAAGGGAAUCACAUCGUCUUUAUUACAAGGGAAGGGAACAAACUCAGACACAAGGCAAGACGUUAGUAGACUUUACUUUUAAUGUUUUGUUAGUUGUGUGAUUAGGUUGGGAAUUAAAUAGACUUAAGGGCAAUCCUAUUUGUUAGCUGUGUCGAAGUGAUUUGCAUUUAGUUUGCUCUCUGUUUUAGUUUAGUAACGCUAAACCGCUUUACAAUAGACGCAAUUAAGUUCAAACCUGAUCAGUCUGAUUGUGUAGUUUUGAUUUGGCACCAAUGCAGAAAAACACAAGAUUACUGUCUUGUUAGAGUUGUGUCUGCUUGUGUUUCACCAUUCAUGAUCAAUAUAAAGUAGAAAGAGUUGUGUCUACUUGUCAUUAUAAUAUGGUCUUUUGUUUCACUAUUCAUUUUGUUGCAAAAAAAAUUUAAGAACUUUUCUCCCACUAGAAAAUGAAAAAAUUAAUUAGACUAACAAGGAUUCUUAACUUUUGAAAUCACUAAAUUAAAUAUUAAUUUAUUUAUUAGAACCCAUUAGGUCUCUAACCAAUGGACUUUGCUCUAAGAUACUAUAUCUCUUUUUAGUCAAUAUGGCAAGUGAACACGUCGGUAGGUUUUUUAACCACGUCCGGGAAAAAGCAACGCAACACGUAUGCGCCUACGUAAUCAUAUAUACAUGCAUUUGUAACUUUAUACGUAAAGAAUAAGUAUGCAGAGUAAACGGUUUACAUCACACACUGCUCGUAUGGCGGCCAAAAUUUAUAGAAAGUCGUUAUAAAUUUUCUUCUGUUAUGACCAUUCGUUAAGUAAAACAAAGGCUUACUCUGAAUAGAUUUAUCUGGUACUUGUUACUUUUUAAUUAUUAUCUUUUUGCUAAAACUUUGAACUUUUUAAUUAUAAUUUUUUUUUUGAAAAAAGGCUUGAGUUUUUAAUUCGUUUGAACUGAUUUUAGAAAAACAUUAUCGUCCACUAAAAUUAACUAACUUUGAAACAAAAAAUUCAAUUUGUUUAUUACCAUUUUUUGUAUUCCCGUUUUUAGAGCUAAUUGUCCGAGAAGAAAAACGUAAAUCCAAUAUCGGAGAGUAUAUGACCAUGUUCGUUUACCUAUCGGGCAAUAUGUGACAUGCGAUCUGCGAUUGGUCGCAAGUCAUAGGUUGUUGUUCGUUUUGCUGUCGCGUAAUCUACUAUUUGCAGGUUGUUGUUCGUUUUGAUGACGCGCGACUGAUCGUGCGACCAGUCGUACGUUCCGAUUUUAACUAAAAUUUAAGAAAAUUUUGAUCUCACGAUUGUUUGCAGGUCGCGCGACACGUAAACGAAUAAAUUUUAGUCGUAAGUCAUAUGUAUAGGUCGAACGACAGAAAACCAACGUAAUCUUGGUCGGAGGUUGCAAGUCGCGCAUCACGUAAACGAACAUGCCCUUUGCCUCCAACCUCCCAUGAGUUAACUUAUUAACUAAAAAUUUCUGGGUGGACGGAGGCAGCAAAGUGGUAAAGGGUCAGCUGACUCCACUACUUUUUAAAAAAUAAAAUUAAAAAAAUUUGUAUUGAUCCCACUUAAAAAAUAAAUUUGACCCCACAAAAAUAAUUACAAAACAUUAAAAGAAAAAGCUAAUUAUACAAGUAAUAUAUUUUCAUUUUUAUUUUUAAAACUUUGGAUUUAUAUUAGUUUUAAUUUUAUUUUUCUAUAGUUGCAAAAGAUUAUAAAAUCAUUAAACAUGUUUUGGGUAUUUAAACUUUAGUAAUAUUUUAGUUUAAGCCCAAAUAGUUUAUAAUACAGAAACAUUAAAAAUAUAAGCAAACUUAAAAUAGAAAAAAAAACAUGUUUCUCUUCCCUUGCAACACAAGACGACGGCGACCUGUUCUAACUUGUGCUCCACAUUCAGGUUAGUUUUAUAUACUUUUUUGGUAUAUUCUACUCUUUUGUUUAUAUUAUUACUUUGUGUUCAUGAUCUGAAUAUUUUUAAUAAUUAAUUUUAUAUUUAGAAAAAGACUAAUCUAUCUUAUUUAAUAGAAAACUAAUGGAUCAAUUUCUAAAUCUGAAAAGAAAAUUUUCAUCAACAGAUGAUAUUCACCUAGACGACAUGCCGCAUGAUCCCAGAGAAAGAAAAGAGAUUCAUGAAUAUGAUCAUAAUCAAAUAGACAAGGUGAGACGCAAGUAUUUGACUAGAUGAUCUUUUCAACUUUGUGGGCAUAGUUUUAAGCAAAAAGUUAUCUUAGGUGUAUUAAUGCGGUUUAAUCCUUCUUGGUUUGAUCAGUAUGGGAUUGGUUAGAAUACAGUGUAAAAAAAGAGAAUGAAUAUUGUUUCUUUUGUUAUUUAUUCAGCAACAAGAAAAAAUGUGUAAGUGUUGGAUUUGUCAUAGAGGGAUUUGAUAGUUAGAAUAAGUCUGACAAAUUGGCUGGCUAUGUAGGUGUGAUAAAUAGAUUUCACAACAUAGCCAAGAAGAAGUGUGAAGAUUUGAUGAGACAAGGUCAGUCAAUCCAACAUGCUUUUCAAAAGCAAACUGAUGUCGUAAAAAAAGAGUAUCGUAUCCGACUAAAUGCUUUAGUCGAUGCUGCUAGAUACUUACUGAAACAAGGAUUACCAUUUCGUUCUCAUGAUGAGACAGCCGAUUCUAGCAGCAAAAGAAUUUUUUUUGGAGUUAGUGAACUAUACUGCUGCGUAGAAUGAAGUUGCAAGCACGGUUGUGGUGAAUAAUGCUCCUGGAAAUAACCAAAUGGUGUCUUGUCUCAUCCUAUUCAAAAAGACAUUUUGAUUGCUUUUAAGAAGAAGUAAUUAAUUCCAUAGUUCAAGAGAUGGACAAUGAUGUGUUUGCUUUAUUGGUGUAUGAAUCAGCUGAUUAUUCUAUGAAAGAGUAAAUGGUUAUAGUUUUUUGCUUUGUCGAUAAACAUGGUAUUGUCAAAGAGAGAUUUGUUGGUCUUAUCCAUGUGAAGGAUACAUGUUCUUUAUCUUUGAAAUCCGGAAUUGAUUCAUUGCUUGCUAAAUAUAGUAUGAGUCUGAAAAUGGUGAGAGGACAAGGCUAUGAUGGAGUAGGAAAAUAUUAGAGGUGAAUUUAAUGGUCUAAGAGCACUGAUUUAAAAAGAAAACAGUUCGGCAUACUAUGUCACUGUUUUGCUCACCAACUACAAUUGGUAGUUGUUGCUGUCGCGAAGAAGCGUUUUGAAGUUAGAGAUUUCUUUGAUAAGAUUUAUUUGUUAGUGAAUGUGGUUGAAACUUCAUGUAAAAGGAAAUAUAAGAUGCGAGAAAUUCAGCGGUAUAUAAUUGAAAAGAGAAUAAGCAGUGGUGAAAUCAAGAUUGGAAAAAGACUGAAUCAAGAGUCUUCUCUUCCAAGACCAGGAAGUACACGUUGGGGUUCUCACUAUCAAACGUUGUUGCGGUUAGUUGAGAUGUUUUCUUAUGUGGAUGAGAUGCUUGUGUACGUCGAGGAUGAAUGUGCUGAUCUUAUCCAGUGAAAUGAAGCAAAUGGUUUUCUCAAAUAUAUUCAUACUUUUAAUUGUGUAUUCUACCUACAUUUGAUGUUGCACAUUUUGGGACUCACAAAAAACUUGUCACUGGUCUUGCAACUAAAAGAUCAAGACAUUCUAAAUGGUGUCUCAUUAGUAGUAUCCACUAAGCGACAACUACAAAAGUUUAGAUAUGAUGGCUGGGAUUCUUUUUUUGAAUGAUGUUUCAGCUUUUUGUGGAAACAUGACACUGGUAUUCUCAACAUGGAGGACGAUUUCAUCGAUCCAAGGAAGUUACACAAAAAGACCAACAUUACCAACUUGCAUCAUUAUCAAGUCAAUUAUUUUUAUACAGUAUUGGAUAUGGCACUUCAAGAUUUUAAUGGUCGCUUUAACGAGGUAAACUCUGAGUUACUUGUUUGCACAUCAGCUUAAAGUCCUACUGCUUCAUUUUGUGAGUUUGAUAAAGAAAAGUUAUUAAGACUAGCUAAAUUAUAUCCUGAGGAUUUUAGUGUGAUAGAAUGCAUAUCACUUAAGCAGCAACUUGACAUUUAUAUUGAUAAUGUACGAGGAGAUGAAAAGUUUGUUGAUUUGAAACAUUUUGGAGAUCUAUCGCGGUUAAUGGUAGAAACUAAGAAACAUCUUUUUCAAUUUUUGGUGUAUAGGCUUUUGAAGUUAUUUUUGACUUUGGAGAAUGAAGAUCGUCAAGACAGAAAUUGCAUGGGUGAUCAGUUUCUAAGUGAUUGUCUUAUUUGUUGUAUUGAAAAAAACAAUAUUUGAAUAUAGUCAAUGAAACUGCUAUAAAAAAGUUUCAAGUUAUGAGUGAAGAUAUAAUACAUUUGUAGUUUUUUUUUUGUGUAAUACAUUUGUAGUUUUUUGGUUAUUUAAACAUUGUGUUUUUGAUUUUUUUUUUUUGGGAUUCCAGUAUAAAAAGUUUUUGGCUCUACCACUCGUAUCGUACUAGCAUGGCGUGUUAAUUUUUAAAUUACUGUCAUUGUUGACUUUACUCAAAAUGAUAAAUUAUGUAUUUAUGACAAGAAAAUAUUGUAAUCUAUAAUUAUAAUCUGAUAAUCUGCAAGUGCAUACCUUUUUUUUCUGUAACUCUGCAAGUGCAUACCUCAUGCGUACAAAUAAAUAUAACUAUCGUUUAUCUAAUAUUGGUGGCGAAACAAGUAAGCAUUACUUCAAUAUUUUUAUUAGUUUUAAAGAAUAUGUCGGCAGAGUGAAUUACGGUUAAUCACCCCUUGACUCAUUUCGUUUAAAACAUUUUAAAGACUGAAACUAUUUAAGGAUGGGCACAAGUAUGGUACUCUACAGUUUUAGGAUACUGAAACCUUUAUACGUAGGGUCUAAAAUUAUAAAAUGGAUUUAAAUCCGUCAACAUUUGCGGAUAUAAAUGUUCAAAAAAAAAACAAUUGCGGAUAUAAUACAGAUUCAAUUCGAAUAUUUCCAAAAUAGUCAAAAUAAUUUAAAUAAUAUUAUUAAAUUAUUAAUUAUUAAACUAAAUUGAGCACUGAUUAAAAUAAUAAAAUAUUUAGAUUCAGUGACAGUUUAAAUAUAUAUAUUUCUGGUUAUCGUAUUUUCUAAUUACAUAUUUAUAAUAUUAUCGAACCGGAUCUGAAAUCGAAUUCCAAAUAGUUUACCCACUCUUACUCUGAAUCAUAUAGUUAUUUUCGUUAGAUUUUCAAAUUGAAUACAGAUACUUUUCCUUCUAUCUAAAUGCCAAAUCCCCUGACCAUUGGAUCAAAAACUUCCGAGAAAUAUACAAAAUGUUACUCAUUAAUGUGCUACCAUAGCAAAAUGUAAAGUGUUAAACUAUGCUUCAUCACAGCUUAUAUAAAGAGAAUGAAUUUUCGUAGAAAUAGAAGGCAAAUUGGAAAAUUCGAUGAAACUACCCGAUGAUAUCCUUAUACCUAUUCAAGUUGAUAGAUCAUAAACAUGAUCUUAAUUAAAUUUAUUUUAGUUAUUUAACGAAAGAAUAAAAUUUAAAAAAUGGAUUUAAAGAGUUAAAUAAAGUCUAGACAGAAAUAUGAUGAGGUAAUAAUGAAGUUGGUAAGGUUAGGAGAAUCUGGAUGAUUUUGAUGAACAUGAAGGAAGAAUAUCAACGUUUCAACAACCAAAGCAAUGAAGUGGCUAUUCUAUGAACCGCAGCUUUGGGAAAAUGAUUCUUUUGACUCGAUAUGCAGAUAUAGUAUCGUAAUUAUAGAAAAACCUACAAUAACAAAUAUAAUAUCCCUUUAACAAAAAAAAACAAAUAUAAUAUAAGAUCGGUGGUCGUGCGCUUUUUAUCUAUAGUUUAAUCUGUUUUUUUUUUGCAAUAUGUUUUUCCUUUUCUUUUUGUUCUUGAUAAAGAUAGCAUACCUACCUGGCAAUCCACAUAAUAGAUGUUACAUAUUACUGACAAAUUGAUAAUAAUUCUUUUGUUACUUGGACACAAACGAUUCUUUUUUACUUGGACACGAAACUCUCUAAGUUUUACAAGAAGAUAUGUUUUAGAGUUUGAAAAUUUGAUGGCUGUAACUUAGCCAACAUGUUUCUUAGUUUAGUAACAAAGGAGAUAAUAAGCUCACAGUUUUCCUUGAAUGAUAACCACUCUUUGAAAAUCGAAAUAUUUGAACUGUGGGCAAUGGAAGUGAAUUAUGUGAUAGCUUAUGCCUUAAUUUGAUAAAUCAAAAUUUCAAGUACACGACGAAAUGCACAGAAGUAUUAAAUGUAGGAACACAUUUUGCAAAGAAUUAGGGAUUAGUUAUAAAUUAUAUUGACUUGAGUGUAAGUCAAUUGAAGCAAACAUCUUAAAUGAACAAAGCUGUACCAAGGCUUUUUUUAUCAAAUAAUUAGACUACUUGUGUUUUUUAAACAAGCAAAUAGUAAAAAAAAUUUAACACAUCAUAAAUAUACUAAAUGUAAUGAUGACAAGAAAUCUUCACUAAAGAAAAUAGAGAUGACUAAAUAUGCAUGAAGAAUGGUUCAAAGAACUUAGACAAUAAAAAUUAGGCAUAUAAUCUCAUAAAGAUGAUUAAAUACAAAUUUGGUUCAGACUAGCUAGUUCGUCUCAAAUAAACCGAGUCAAUCUUGAAAUUUCAAAUAACAUAGUAGAUUACUUAAGAUGAUAUCUCAACAUGGCUUAAUAUGUUUGCUUUGGUGAAUCUUCGAGCCGUCUAGAACAAUGUUGAUGAUCAUUAUCUUGAUCUGUCAUGGUGAUCGGUUAGCUCAUUUGUUAUACUUAUUCUUGAUCGGUUGGAUCAUCGGUUUAGAUUACUGAUUAACAUGUCUUCUCCUCAACUUUUGAAGGUUCUUUUAUUUCUCCUUGAUGAAUUCAUCAUGACAUUCCAAGUAUCCAAGUGCAUGCUCUUCCUCAUGUACGACCUAAAAAUUAAAGUGAAGACUCCAAGUAUACGGUAUACCAGAUAUGCCUACAACUUCUAAUUAAAAACGUAAAUUCGGUACUAAGAUGCUGUGAACAAACGAGAAGUAACUCGAAAAAAACAAAAGAGAGAAAAAACAUAUCGAAGCAAAUACUCAUUUAGGGUGUUUUAUUAUUAUGUGAAUGAAUUAAUUUAUAAAUCUUUAUAUCUGUAUUUAUAUCACCCUCAAAACCCGAUUUCUUUUUCUAUAUAGAAAUACAUAUUUAUCUAGAAAAAAUAAAAUUUUCUAAACCAAUAAAGCAUAUUUUACUGUGGAAGCCUACAUCCCUCACACGGUCACAUCCUUCAGAAGUCAAUCUUGAUAGUGAAUUUUCUUUUUUUGUGCUUACGACACAUGCAAGAAAUACCGGACUUUUGUUGAUACACAGAGAUUUAAAACAUCUCAAGAUACAACAUAAACAUAAGAAAACCGGCUAAAAUAAUUAAAAACAGAAAACUGUUGAACUAGACCAAAAAAAGCAAUAAAGGUACUUAGAAGGAACAAUAUUUAGUAUUAUUUUGUCGGAAAACUAUCAAUACAUCUAAUACCCCGUAAAGACUCUUGGAAAAGGAAGAAAAUACUAGGCGGACUAAGAGCACCCGCAAUAGGAAUCCUUAAAAGGAAAUCUUAAGGAAAAAAUAAUUAAAUAAUCGGUAGACUCCACCAAAAACUAAUGAUUCAAUCCUUAAAAUUUCUAAAUAAGGACUCUUUCUUAGUGAAUCCUUGCACUAUUUGCGGGUCCCGACGACAUAUGGCGACCCGCGAUUAGUUGAUAUUUAUUUUUUUUAUCUAAAAAAAUAAAAUAAAUAAUAAAACUUAAAAAAUCAAAAUACACUUUUUUUAAGGACUCCCCUUAGAGUAACACCAUUGCGGGUGCUCUAAGGAGAAAACCAAGUUGCCCAUAUAUUAUAAUAUAAUGAUGCAUGUAUAAUAACAUCAUUAUUAUCAAGAAAUCUUGAAGAUCUUUUGUUUAACCGAUCUAAGUAACAAAAAAAAAAAUUUGUAAAUGUGACAACAUAUAUUCUCUUUACAAUACAAGUCUGCGUGAAUCCAGGUGCCCUGCCUUCGCAACUAUAAAGGCAGUAUUUCAUCACUACAUUAUUAGUUAUUGCAUUAUUAAUUUGUACUUGUUUACUUUUGCUUAAAGAGGAAGACAUACUUUGCUCAGCCAUGACGGGCUUCAAUAGCAAAUAAUGUUGAUGAUAUAAUACGUAUAUAUUAUACACCUAAUUCCUUUAUCAAACAAUAAAAUUCCUUUUAGAAACUAAAUAUAUUUUGGUUAAUAUAUAGUACAACUCGUUUAAAUCUUGUCGUACUAAUUUCUGUUAGGACCAUUUUGAAUAAUGUAUAUUUUUCCUAUUUAGCAGAUACAAUUACUUAUGAUAACUUCUUAAUUAUCAGAGGAUUUUUAUGGCAAAAUAUCUCAAGAGUGAAAGGAAAUUUUCACCACAGAAAAUGAAGAAAAACAGACUAUAAUCUUAUAGGAGGGAUCAACACAAAAUUAUAUAAA